Molecule: transfer RNA, 123 nt
Filed under: Methylocystis sp. H62
Lineage: Bacteria; Pseudomonadati; Pseudomonadota; Alphaproteobacteria; Hyphomicrobiales; Methylocystaceae
Description: tRNA-Leu
Source: RNAcentral
GGGGAAUAUCCCAUAAAUCAGUUGCUUGGUAAAGUCAUGGAAGCAGGAUAAAACCCAGAUAAUCCCUAUUCAACUACGUUGACAUCGUAGGGGUCACAGGUUCAAUCCCUGUCGCGCCCACCA